Ribosomal RNA from Lupinus angustifolius (narrow-leaved blue lupine), 1217 nucleotides. It matches the Rfam family "Eukaryotic large subunit ribosomal RNA", at positions 665 to 1888 of the family's 3401-position model. The record is from Rfam. Lineage: Eukaryota; Viridiplantae; Streptophyta; Magnoliopsida; Fabales; Fabaceae.
ACCAAGGAGUCUGACAAGUGUGCAAGUCAGUGGGCAAGUAAACCCGUAAGGCGAAUGAAGUUGAUUGGUGGGAUCCCCUUGUGGGUUGCACCGCCGAUCGACCCUGAUCUUCUAUGAUGGGUUCGAGUGAGAGCAUACCUAUCAGGACCCGAAAGAUGGUGAACUAUGCUUGAGCAGGGUGAAGCCAGAGGAAACUCUAGUGGAGUCCCACAGCGAUACUGACGUGCAUAUCAUUCGUCUAACUUGGGUAUAGGGGCGAAAGACUAAUCGAACCGUCUAGUAGUUGGUUCCCUCUGAAGUUUCCCUCAGGAUAGGUGGAGCCCAUGGGUGAGUUCUAUCAGGUAAAGCCAGUGAUUAGAGGCAUCAGGGGCCCAAUGACCUCGACCUAUUCUCAAACUUUAAAUAGGUAGGAUGGUGUGGCUUCUUUGUUGAGCCACGCCACAGAAUCAAGAGCUCCAAGUGGGCCAUUUUAGGUAAGCAGAACUGGCGAUGCGGGAUGAACUGGAAGCUGGGUUAUGGUGCCCCACUGCGCUAACCUAGACCCCACAAAGGGUGUUGGUCUAUUUAGAGAGUAGGACGGUGGUCGUGGAAGUCGAAAUCCGCUAAGGAGUGUGUAACAACUCACCUGUCGAAUCAACUAGCCACGAAAAUGGAUGGUGCUAAAGCGCACGACCUCUACCCAGUCGUCGGGGCAAGGGCCAAGCCUCGAUGAGUAGGAGGGAGCAGUAGUCGCUGCAAAACCUCGGGUGUGAGCCCGGGUGGAGCGGUCGUCGGUGUAGAUCUUGGUGGUAGUAGCAAAUACUCAAAUGAGAAAUUUGAAGGCCGAAGAGGGGAAAGGUUCCAUGUGAACGGCACUUGCACAUGGGUUAGUCGAUCCUAAGGGAUGGGGGAAGCCCAUCUGCUAGCACUCUAAGCGCACACUCUGAAAGGGAAUUGGGUUACAAUUCCUGAACUGGGACAUGGCGGUUGACGAUAACAUCAGAAAGUCUAGAGGCGUCGGCGGGGGGCCCGGAAAGAUUUAUCUUUUCUGUUUAACAGCUUGCCCACCCAGGAAACGGCUCAGCUGGAGGUAGGGUCCAGCGGUUGGAAGAGCACCGCACGUCGCGUGGUGUCUAGUGUGCCCUAGUCGGCCCGUGAAUAUCUAGAGGACCGAGUGCCUCCCAAGCCCGGUCGUACUCAUAACUACAUCAGGUCUCCAAGGUGAACAACCUCUAGUC